RNAcentral lists this long non-coding RNA (18386 nucleotides) under Vitis vinifera (wine grape). RNAcentral's name for it is "long non-coding RNA (VVIN_LNC004539)". Lineage: Eukaryota; Viridiplantae; Streptophyta; Magnoliopsida; Vitales; Vitaceae. The record is from RNAcentral.
ACCUUUGCUGCUGGAGCAGCUGGCUUAGCCUUCGAUGGCGUCGGUGCUUUCUUUCCCGGAGUUGUCCUUGUAGACGUCCUGGCAGCCUUAGCAGGUCUUGCAGCCGGCUUCGACUUCGGCUUCACUGCCGGUUUGGCCUUAGGCUUAGGUUUUGGCUUAGCAGCGACAGCUUUGGGCGCAGCAGGGGCUUUUCGAGGAACCGCCUUUGGCUUCACAGCAGCCUUCGGCUUGGCAGGAGCUGCUUUCGGCUUGACAGGAGCUGCUUUCGACUUGGCAGCAGCCUUCGGUUUGGUGGUAGCCUUAGGCUUCGGCUUAGCUGCAGCUUUCGGCUUCGCUGGUGCUUUCGCAGGCUUUGUUGGCUUCGGUUUUGCUGCGGCGGGCUUCUUAGCUGCCUUCGAUGGGGCCGAUCGAGAACUCGGAAGUUUGUACGAGUUCUUCACCUUCACGAGCUUUUCAGAAGCCACGAGCUUCUUCAAAUGCACGAGCAAAAGCUUCCUGAAAUUCGAAGGCAACUUCUUGUGCUUCUCUUCAAUGAACUUGGUUAUCGCAUACUGACUGGAACCAGUCCUCUCCUUCAAAGCUACAAUUGCUUCAGUAAUCAUCUACACAGGACACAACAACCCAAUCAGAUCAGAUCAAAAUCGUAUCAAAUCCAUAUAAAAUAAGCUCCAUAAGGAAACAUUAGUACCUCAAGGAAAGGAGGGUGAGUUGAAGGAGAUUUCGGCUUUUUAGCUGCCGGCUUCUUGGCUUUUGGCUCUUUAGGAGCUUUGGCUUUCUUGGCCUUCGAUUUUCUACCAGUCUGGUUCUCCACCGGCGGCUCCGUCACCGGCGGAUCCACAACCACUUCGACGGCAGAAACCGCAAUUUCAGCAGAUGCCAUGGAUGCAGAAACUCAGAAUUAGGGUUUCGAGAGAGAGAGAAAGAUGAGCAGAGGCUGUGUCGGGCUCUUGAUUUUGGCGAAGAAGUGACGGUUGGAUGGCGGUUUAAAUACUAGCAAUUGGAGAAAUGCUGAGCGCUGAUUGGCUAAAAGUAAUGUCACACGGAUCCAGGCCCUUUGAAAUUUUGAAUUUCAGCCUUUGGAUUUGAGACUAUCCACGGUUGACAAUGAGCGCUUUAGUGGGGGUCGGAUAGAGCUAUUACCAACCUAAUGGAAUGUUGGUUUUGUGAGGGUUUCGGGUGUGUUUUUCACUUCAAUUGUGUUGGCUAUAAUUUGAGCUAUAUUUGAUGGAUCUCAACAAGGUUUGGACGAUUUUGAAGGUUAGGAGUUAAGCUUUCUAACAAAUAUUUACAUGUGUGUUUAGCUUAAGCGAAUAGAAAGAUUUUGGCUUUCGAAGUUAUGUCACUCUGAUCUAGGUUUUUUUGGAACUUUGUUAAGGUUUCGAUGAAUUUAAGGAGAAUUCUUUCUAACAAAAUUAAUUUUUUUUAUCAUAUAUGAUUCUUCCGUUGAAAAGGAGCCUAUAGCUUUGAGAAUCGUAAAAAUCUGAUAAAAAAUUGACAGUUAAAUCUUAACCGAAACAACACUAAAGUUGAACAUGUCAGAAUAGGCAAUAUAAAUUUGUGAUGACAAACAUGGAAUAAGCUUGGGCUUUUUUUCUUUUUUGUUUUUUAUGAGAAGGUAAUUGAUGCUUUUUCUGUCAUUUUUACAGCUAGGCAUCUUCCUCCUCAUCAUAAGGGUUUACUUUGCGGUCAAUGUCGUUGAAAACGUAAAAUUAAAUAACGACAAUGAUACACACUUGUAUAUUUCACCAAAAAAGAAAAUAAUUGCUAUUUGUGUAUGAGAAUAUUGGAUUUGUACCACUUUUAAGCCAUCUUAACAAUAGGUGAUCAUUAAUUCCAAGUUUGAACGUAUAUGAAACCGAGAUUUCAUUUAUAUCAAUUGAAUAGUCAAAACUAAUUUUGUAAUAGUCUAAUCUUUUAAACUUGUUCCUAUGAACUAGCAAACUACUUAAGGAAAAAAUAAUUUGAUUUCACAAAAUUAUGAAUUGUAAAUCUUGACACUACAGCAAAUUGCAUAAAUAAACAUAUAAGAUGUUAAUAAUAUCAAUAGUAACAUCUAAAUAUAAAUUAUGGAUAUGAUGAAGUCAACAAUACAAUGAGGAUCAUGUACACAUCAUUAUAAGCUUAUAAGACCGAAGAUGAGAUAUCAUAUUAGACUUUAAGAAUCCAAGUUGGAUGAAGCUAUAUGGCAAAGAUUCUAGCAACCUAAUUAUGAAUACUAAUGCCAUGAAAUUAAAAAGAACUUCCAAAAGCAUGGUUAUAACCCUAUUUUAAGAGAUUGGGUAUAAAAAAAAAUUGAAUAUGAAGACUUUAGAUUGAGAACUCUUAAUUGCCUCAAUAAAUAAGCAAUAAAGGGAUUUUGAUUAUGUGAUAUUCAUAGACACAACCACAUAGUUAUCAACCCACAAAUAGAUAAGCUUAGGAAUGACAAUCCCCUUGGCAUUUAAGAAUGAAAAUCAUGUUGGAUUGUACCAUUUUCACUCAAAAUGACAACAACCUAAUGAAUGGUACUAAUAUCAUGAGAUCAAAAGAAAUCUUUAUAAUUCCUUAAUUUUCAAAAAAAUGUAUAUUCAAGUGAAUUUAUAUUUUAGAAGAGCAAUUAUAAUCAAAUCUUUGAGGGAUUCAAUAACAAUGAAAACAAGGAGGAAGUAUUCAAAUUCAAAAAAUCUAUAAUUGACAACUCAAUAGAGAAAGAGCUAGGAUAAGAGAUUUUGAUUACAUGAUUUGUGUAGCAAAUAUCAUUUCUAAUAAAUAGUGGUUCACAUAUCCCAAUGCUUUAAAUGCAAAUAGACCGAUAUGAAUCCUAGUACACAUGAUUAUUAGUUUGAGCAAUCUAUAUUCUAGAUUUAAAUGCAAACAUUCAAUUUGUUCAUAUCUAGUUCUAUAUAUCUAUUCGAUACCACCUAAAACAUGUUCUUAAAUUGAACGGUUGACCUUGAAUCUCUUGUAUCAAAUACCAUGGAUUCUCAUAUUAAUCAAGUUAAAGUGGCUUAAUUUUGAAUUAAAAAUCAUAAGAAAUCCUUAAACUAUUUCAAGUUAAACAAUAUGAGUGAUUUAAACCAUAAUUUAAUGUAAACAUAUUCAUGCGAGGAGUCUAAUUUAAUUAAGAGUAAUUUUGAUCGAUAUUACUUUUGGUCCUUAUCAUUUUCGACCUUUGGGCUAGUCUUGUAAGUAAUGAAACUAAUGUCUAUUUUAACUUCAAAUUCUUAAGAAGGGAAAUUUGAAAUGUCUAGAAAAGAUAUUAGGAAGGAGUUUUAUAAUGAUGUGCGAAGAGAACAUUUUCUUUGUUUUAAGGGUAUGCUAGUGGGCCUAAGGGGUACCUAGUAAUUUUAACACUAAUUUGGGAAUAGGGUUGACUAGGGUGGUAUAAAACCCAUCCUUACUUGCUCUAUUCCGAAUUUGGGUUUUAAAAGAAAUCUCAAACCUACUUACUUUGAUCAUAUCUUACACAAAUUUGUUCUAAUGAGGGUGGGUAGGGGCAAGUCAUCGAAAAUAACUGCCCCAUUGUUAUUCCUUUUUGCAACCCUUUCAAGGUUGAUUCUUCUAGUAAAGUUCAUUAUGAAAUUCAUCAUGAUUUCUUUUCUUAUAUAUCGUUAUUUAUUUUGAAUGAAUAGUCUUUGUAUUAAAGAAAAUUAGCGGCUACUUACCAUUGCCAUAUAAGAUUAAAAGAUGUUUGGAAACAUUUGUAAGAGAGUAUUGAUUGAAAGAUCUUGAAUUAUGAAACAAAAAAAAUAUUAAAUUUUUUUUUUUCAAAUGAUUAAGGAAAUUUUGAAUCAUUAGGUAUUUUUUAAAUUAAGACUUAGAUUCAUCUAAUGUAAUUAUAGUGCAAAUGGGACAAAAAAAUACUUUAUUUUGUAUUUAAUAAAUUUGAUGGAUUUAAUGUUAGCUAUUAUUCAUUUGAUAGUUUAUCUCCUCUUAUGACAAUUUAAGAGUUGUUUGUCUUUAGUUGUGCUAACCUUAUUUAUUAAAUGGCAUAUGGACUACAAAGCACUAUGAGUAAGAUAAUCAACUCUCAUUUAUUUUACUUUUCAUAUUUUAGUAAUUAUUUUUUUAUUUCUUCAUGCUUUUAUACGUCCAAAGAUAUCAUAUUACACAUUAUGAGUUUUUCUUUCGUCUCACAUUCUACCUUGUCUUUAACCUUAUACAAAGGGCUCUCAUCAAAGAUAGGUUUGGAAGAAGAAAGGUUGUUGUUUGUUAAAGAUGACAUUCAUAGAAAAAAAAAAAAAAAAAAACAAAACCUUUGAGAAUUAGGAUGAUAACACUUAGAUCUUUUUUUUUUUUUUUUUGGAGAAUAGUCAAUAAAUAUACAUUUAAGAGCUUAGGGAUCUAGCUUAAUAUUAUGAUGAGCUUAAAUAUGAACAAAAACCAUACACCUAAAUAUAAUAUGAAAAAAAACCAUGCACUUAAAUAUUUUUAGAGCAAAUCAACUAAAAUCAUUAAGUUGCGGAUAGAGUUGAGUAUGAAGACUUAUGGGGUCUUUGAAAUCAAGCUCUUUGGAAGGUAGUCUAUUUAUAAGAUGAGUAGCAAUUAAAACGAUCAUUCUCUCUAAUAUGUCUUUGAAACAUCUAUUUGAAAAAUCUAGGCUCUAGUUACCUUUAACAAAUAUCUAUUUUCCUGUUUAGCUACCCCAUUUUGUUGUAGUGUAUCAAUACAAUAGGAUUGGUGAAUAAUAUUUUUUUUUUCAAAGUAUGGUGGUAGACAUUGAUUGAAACACUUUAUCCCAUUAUUCACUAUUUGGCUUUUGGUAUCAAAUUGGGUUUUGAUCAUUUUAUGCAAAAUAGAGAAAAUAAUGAUAACAUUAAAUUUAUGUUUCUUAAGAUAUACCUAUAUGACCCUUGUGCAAUCAUUAAUAAAAAACACAAAUCAUUUUGCCCUAGAAAUAAUUUGAAUUUAAGUAGGCCCCCGAACAUCAAUGUGGAUGAAAUUAAAUGGAACAUAACUUUUAUCAUUAAAAGGAAUACAAAGGUGUUUAUAAAAUUCACAUACAUCACAAUGAAAAUUUUGAAUAUAUAAUUUUUCACACAGUAGAAAUUUAUCCUUUCUAACAAAGAAAAAGAUGGAUGACCAAGACAAAAAAAAGAUAAAUAAACUUGAGUCGUAUUGGUAUAAUGUUCUUCUAAAAGGUAGGAUAGACGUAUAGAAUCAAACUAGUCACUCUUAACUUCAAGAAAGUAUUACCCUUCUUUCUUACUAGCAUGCCUAAUCAUUUUCCCUAUAAGAUGAUAUUGAAAAACACAUUUAAAAGAUGUAAUUAUCAUUGAGAAAUUAAGGUUUCUAGUAAUAUGAUGAAUUGGCAACAAAUUUAUAGAUAACUUGGGAACAUGUAGAAUAUUUUUCAAGGUUAGAGAUGGUGAAAUGGAAACAUUUCCUUGGCUAGCUAUACCAAUAAAGUUCCAUAAGCAAUCCUUAUUUUUUUUUUUUUGGCUUAUAGGACAAGGACUAUAAAUGGAGAAGGACUUAUAUGAAUUGGUCAUAUGAUCUAAAGUCCAUGAGUCUAUGAUGUAAGGGCUUGUAAAUAGAUUGUAGAGGUAGCCAGGGAUUGGGAAUGCUUACUUUUUUUUAAUCAAAAUAACUAGAACCUCUUUGUUAUUCAAGUUGUCAAAUAAAAUUAUUUAGCUAUCAACCUCUUUCUUGUAGAAAAUUUCUAUUGCAAUAGUAUCUUGUAGCUAUUUCACUUUUGUAUUAACGACAUAACUCUAGGACUUGUAACCUAAAUUUCCCUCCCUAUUGCCAUUAGUUUUUCCUAAGAAAUUUUAAGGAUUGCCUUAAAGAUUUCAAUAGUUUUCCUUGGUACAAUGAUUCUUGCGACAAUAGUUGCACCAAAGUAAGGCUUUUUCAUUUGGGUUUCAUCUCUUUUCUCUUCUUAAAAUAGUAAAAUCUUCAUUCAAUGAAGGCAAUAGAUCUCUCCUAAGAAUCUAGAUUCUAACUUGAUCAAAAUUCACUAUUCCAACCAACCAAAAAAAUAAAAAAUAAAAAAUAAAAAAUCAAAGACUUUCUUUCUUAAUAAAUUAUAACAUUGUAAUACUUAGAUAUAGAUCAAGUACUUUGUUCAUCAUCAUGGAUUUUUGUCUUGAAUUCAUAAAUCUAAGUAGCAGCCCAUAACUUAGAGUAGGUGUGAUGAAUUACAUCGCAAAUCUUCUUUGUCGUGGAGAGAAACAUGCAAGUACAACUUAUUUUUGAUUGAAUGGAGCUCUAUAACGAAUACAUAAUCUAAGAAUCUUCUUUAUCUCAAGAGACAAAUUUCGAAUCAUCCUUACCAAUCUUAGGAACAAGAAGAUGCUUUAGCUUCUUCUUUUCUUUAAUGUGCAUUUUCAUUAAUCGGGACCAUUGCAAAUAAUUUCCAUUCAUUAAGUUUGAAGGAAGUUGAUACAUUCUGGUAGUCACUAGGAGUUAUGUUCUAGGUUGUUGAUAAAUUAUUACUAAUUUCAGACAUGUUUAGAAAAAUAGAGAAGAAAACUAUCCUAGUCUUGAAGCCUAUUAGUAUGAAAAAAAAGAGUUGAAUUACCAGUAAUUAAGGUUGAUCACAACGAAUAAUAACUAAAAGGUUGGUCUAGGAUGAAUGAAAUUCAUGUUUAGUAAUGAAGAUUAAGUAACUAGGCUAUGACUAACUAGUGAAGGCUUUAUGGUGGGAAAAUGGAUAUUGGCAAAGUUAGUUUUCCUAUUUUAAUAACAUGUUGAUUAUUUGGGGUUUUAAGAAUCUCUCACUUGUAUUUUUUUCAAUAGAAUUACCCUAAAUAUAUAUAGAUUAUAAGAGGUUAGAAAUACAAAAAAGAAAAAAACUAAUUUCUAGAUUAGGAUAUCUCUAUUUAAAAAAAAAAUACAGAAAGUUAGUAAACUAAACUAAUAAGGAAAAGAGCUUAAUUCACAAGUAUUUUCUAAUUGAAACAUCUUCAUAUAAGUUGUGCAUAUUUUCCAAUCGAUACUGUUAGGACAUUGAGUCUUGUUUGUAUGUUGACAAUUUUAUUCCAAUUAAUGUUUGGCCUUAGAAGUCUUUUUAAAUAGUGGCUUACUCUCUAUUGAAGAUCAAGGGUUGUUGUUCAUCUAAUUGGGAAGUCACAAGUAUGUCUAACAUGAUUGUCUUGUGGCAAGUAGACUCCUAACAGGUAUAAAGAAGAAUGGUACAUUUGUUAUAAAAAUUGAAAAUUGAUAUUUUAUAGAAGUAGGGGACACUUAGCGGGCAGCAACACUAAAGCGCUGGGACUACUCAAGCACUUAGCAUUGCUCAAGUGCCUGAGACCCUUAAGCACUUAGCAUCGCUUAAGUGCCCGAGACACUCAAGCAAGAGUUAAGUGUGCUCAAGUGCUCAUGAUUUUUCUAUUGAGAUUUGGAAUAUAUAUUUGAGAUUUCAUGCAAAUCUUAUUUGGAAACCUUAUGAUAUUGAACCUUUCAACAUAUUUGCCUAUAAAUACCUUAUUAUGACCCUUCUAAGGUAAGAUAACUUAAUAUUUUGGAGAGAGUUUCAUUGAGGAGGAAGCCUAAUGAGCCACACUAUUCUCGAUUUCUCAUUCAAAGGAUUCAAACAUUGAAUAUUGGGUUGAAGACCUUCAUCUCUUCAGCGAGGCUAAAGUGUUUUCACUAUAGCAAUAAGAGGUUGCUAUGUUGUGGAUGUGGAUCAAAUUGUAGGUAUUGUAGAGUAAGUCUUUAAGGUAAAACGACUAGAUAAAUCUGUGUAACUUGAUCUUAAAUAGUGGAUUUAGAUUAACAAUUUUAGAUCCAUGAUAUUUUAUUUCUACCGUUACUGUGGGGGUUUUCCACAUAAAAAUCCUAAUGCCUCAUCUUAUUUCUUUAUUAUCUUGCUUACAUUGCCUAUUAAUGAAAGAAUUGACUAUCCUUAACUAAUCACAAAGAUAAAUUGAGUAUAAUAUAUAAAUAUUUAUUUAAAAUUUUUAAGUUACAUCCAUUCACCCUCCUUUCUGAGUGUUGCCUUACUAGGCUUUGGUUUUUCAAUCGGUAUUAGAGCAAGAUAAAAAUUAAAAUUUUAUUAAUCUUAUAGGAUAAAAUCUAAUUUUUAUUGAUCUUAUUAGGAUAAAAAUUGAAUUUUUAUUGAUCUUGUAAGUCCAAUAUGGAACAAUAAGAAACUAGGGCUCCUUUAAAUUGUCCACCUUACUUUGAUGGGAGUAACUAUCCCCACUAGAAAGCUCGGAUGAAAUUUUUUCUUAUAAUGCAAGGUGAACGGGUAUGAAAUUCAGUAGAAUAUGGAUGAGGACCACCAUUGAUUCUUUAUGUCUAUAUAAGAUCAAUUGGAGAAUUAAAACCUAAAUAAGAUUAAGACAAAGCCAAUAAUGAAAGGAGUGAAAUCAAUGUUAGGGAUUUAUUUAAUAUCUUUAAUGGAGUUUGUCCAAAUGAGUUUUGCAGGAUAGCAAAUUGUACUUGUGCUAAGGAAACAUGGGAUAUACUUCAAGUCACUCAUGAAGGUAUGUCUAUUGUUAAUGUUUCUAAAUUGCAAAUGCUUACUCCUAAGUUUGAGAAUGUUAAGAUGUAUGAAAAUAAGAUUUUUUCCCUUUUUUUUUAUUCUGAAUUAAGUAAUAUUGUUAAUUCAUCAUUUAACCUUAGAAAACCUAUUCUAGAUUCAAAGGUAGUAAGAAAAAUUUUGAGAUCUCUCCUAAGGAGAUUUAGACUUAAAAUUACUACCUUAAAGGAGAGCAAGGACAUCGAUUCGAUAAGAAUUGAUGAACUUGUUAGCUUUACACAAACAUAUGAGAUGACUUUACCUAAUUCUCAAAAGCCUAAACAUCUUGCAUUUAAGACUUUUGAGAAUAAGAAAGAAGAUACUGAAAUACCAUAUAAUAUAAUUAGGGAUGAAUUGGAUCAUAUGGCUAAAAGAAUAAAAAUGGUCAUGAAAUUCAAUAGGAAAUUUUACAAAAAUGAAGAAUCUGGAGAAGGAAAAAUACCUGAGCAAUCAUCUAAAGAAAAAGAUAAAGGUUCUUUCAAGGGUAAGAAAAUAGGAUUCUUUAAUUGUGGUAGUCUGAGACAUUUUGUUUCUAAUUGUCUUAGUCCCAAAGAUAUUAAAAAGUUUAUGCAAGCUACAUGGAGUGACACAAAUUUUGAAGAAAUUGCUUCCACAACUUCUGAAGAUGCAAAAUAUGAUCAUAAUGACUUUUUAGCUUUUGUUACAUCUAUAGAAUUUGUGCAUGAUAAUGAAUGUGAUAGUAAUAAUGAUGAUGAAUUCACUAAUGAUUGAAAAACUGCUUUUCUAAAUAACCUUGUUGUUAAGUAUGAAAAACUAAUUAAGAAUUACUUAAAAGACUAUGAUAUUCUUUAAGCUCAUAAAACUAAGAUUGAUGUGCUAAAAGAAGAGAUGACUAAUCUUCUUGAAAAAAAAAACAAAAAAAAAAAAGAUUUCUUGAGUCUAAACAUCAUUCUUUUCUUGGGAGAAAUAAUUCUUUUACUCAAAAGAUGGAAAGUAAUAAGUCUUCUUCAUUCGUGAACGAGAUCUUUCACUCUGGAACUAAAGUGCUUAAUGAAAUACUUGAUAAAUGCAAAACCCAUGGUGACAAAAGAGGUUUGGGGCACAUUAAUAAAGAUGAAACUCUUUCUAACAGAGAAACAAUUUUUGUAAAAAGAAAAAAGAAAAGAAAAAAAGAAACCCCUACCAAGUAGUAUCUUUCAACACUCCAUCACUAUGCACACAUUGCAAGAAAAUAUGACACACUCAUUAUAGUUGCUAUACUAAGUUCUUAGAAAGAUUUGAAUCUCAAAUGAGUAGGCUAAUGAAUGACUUUUGAAAAAUCGAAAGUCCAAUAAGGAACACCUAGAGAAGGGGUGAAUGAGUGAUUUCAAAAUUUUAAAUAAAGAUUUACAUGUUAUACCCAAUUCUUUUAUCCCAAAAGAUAUUAGGGAUACCCUAAAUAAUUAAAUGGGUUAUACCUAAAAUCUAUAGGUAUAUAAAAAUAUGAUUUUUCACUUUUUAGGGAUGACUUGCGAGAUGUUAGGGCUAAUCAAUUCUAUCGAUUAUAGUCAAUUCAAACAAAAUAUUAAAUAUAAAAGAUAUAGACAAUGAGACAUAAGAUUUUUUCGUGGAAAACCCCCACACCAACUAUGGAGAUAAAAAACCACAAGGUCUAAGACCUAUUAAUUUAACUCCACUAUAUGAAAUCAAGUUAUACAGAUUUACCUGACUGCUUUACUUUAAAGACUUACUCUCCAGUACCUACAAUUUGAUUCACAUCUAUGACACAACAUCCCUCGAUUGCUCUAGUGGAUCACUAUAGCCUCACCAAAGGGAUGGAUGUUUUCAAACUAAGAUUCAAAGAUCUAAUCCUUGAAUAAGAAAUCAGGAAUGGUGUGGCCUUUUUAGGCUUGCUCUUUAAGAGACCCUCUAUAAGGAAUAUAAGGUCUCUUAACGGUCUAUUUCCAAUCUCUAACGAUCUCUUACUCUUAAGAGAAUAGAAAGGUAUGUAUAAAAAAAAGCCCAAAAAGUUUCAGUUUUGGAAGAGUUCUAAACCAUAUUUGUGUGAAAGAUCUCGAUAGAAUCUACAUGACUGCUCGAGCCAACUCACUCAUCACUUGAGUACUUUUGACGCUUGAGCAGUAUGGCUCGCUUGAGUGGUCUUGGGCACUUGAGCACUCCAGGUCGCUUGAACGAUUCAACCAUGUUUCAAAAGUUAAUUUUAAAACCUUUUAAGUUAAAAACAAAACUAAUCCUCUUAAUAGCUCAACGUAGCCUAAUUUACCACAAACCAAACCUCUUUAGAUGUACCUAUGACUUUCCUAUUGGAUAAACAACAACUCUUGAUUUUCAAUGGAGAACAAGUCAUUAUUAAAAAAAACUUCUAUGGCCAAACAUUAAAAGGAACAAAAUUUCCAACAUAUAAACAAGAUUCUAUGUCACAAUUUUAAUUACCUUAAAAAUAACAUCUUGAAUAAUGGAAAAUGGAAUAAACCUAAUCAAAAGCCUAGAAAUCAACAAAGCUCUUUUAAGUCACCUCUUAGAAUUAAACAAGUUUAGAUGAGAAAAUAUAGGGCUAAAUAUUAGGUUGUCAUCACAACACUUAAAGUUAGAUCUUCUAGUGAGUGGUACUUUGAUAGUGGCUACUCCAGACACAUGAUAGGAGAUAAAUCAUUCUUCACUUUUUUUGAGGACUAUAAUGAUGGUAUAGUUAUCCUUUGGGGAUGAGAGCUUAGCUUGUGUGAAAGACGAGGAAAGUAUACCUAUCCUUGGUUGUCUUAAAUUAGACGGAGUUCUCUAUGUAGAUGGACUCAAGGUAAGCCUCCUAAGUAUUAGUAAGAUAUUUGACAAUGAACAUACGGUAAAUUUUUGCCAAGACUUAUGCAAGGUAAUAAACAAAGAAGGAAAAAUCAUAAUUACAGGACAUAGGACAGUUGACAACUGUUAUGCAAUGAAUCUAAAUUCCAAAACACCUCGUGUGUAGUAGGCCAAAGAGCUUUGGCAUAGAAGGCUAGGUCACAUAAAUUAUAGGGAUCUUAUUCACUUAGUGAAUAACAAAAAAGUUAUAGGUAUCCCUAAACUAAGUGGUGAACCUAAACCCAUUUGUGGUGAGUGCAUGAAAGGUAAGCAAACACAAAGUUCACACAAAAAGGUUAAGGAAAUUAAGACCACAAGACCACUAGACCUUUAGACCUUUAGACCUCUUCAUAUGGAUCUUAUAGGUCGCAUAUGUACUGAAAGUAGAAGUGGUAAGAGAUAUGUCCUAGUCGUAGAUGAUUUUUCAAGAUACUCUUUUGUGAGUUUUUUUAGAGAGAAGUCAGAAACCAAAGAGCACUUGAAGUCCCUGUUCACCAAAAGACAAGUGGAGAUAAGCCAUCCAAUUGUAAGGAUUAGGAGUGAUAGGGGAAGAGAGUUUGAUAAUGUGGAUGUUGACUUCUUUUGUGAGUCAAAAAGUAUUAAACAUGAUUUUUCAACCCCUAGAACUUCUCAAUAGAAUGAAGUGGCUAAAAGGAAAAAUAAAGUGUUAUAAGAAAUGGCUAAAGUGAUGAUUUAUAUGCAUGAUACCUCUAUGAAACUUUGGCCUAAAGUUAUAAAUACAACAUGUUACAUUGCUAAUAGCUAUUUUCUUAGGCUUGGAACAAACAAGACAUCUUAUGAAUUAUGGACUAGGAGAAAACCUAACCUUAAGUAUUUUAGGACUUUUAGUUGUGAGUGCUACAUACUUAGGGAUGGGGAGAACCUAGGGAAAUUUGAUGCAAAAUCUGAUAUAGGUAUCUUCCUAAGCUAUUUUACUAAGAGUAAAGCCUAUAGGAUAUAGAAUCAAAAUUCAUAGAUUAUCUAGGAGUCCUCUAAUAUGGUUAUAAAUAACACUGGGUAUGAUAAGGAUAUAAUAGAAAAUCAAAUUUCAACCUAGGAAUUAGAUAGGGACAAUCAUGAAAAUAUAGAAAAAACAAAAGAUAACCCAAAUGAUAUCCCUAAAAGUAAUGUUGACCCUAACAAGGAUGUAAAUGUACCUCAAGAAGACACAUUUAAAGAAAUAAGGAAUAAACAUAAAUCCAAAGUACCAAAGAACCACCCUAUCAAAAAUAUUAUAGGUAACAUGAAUGAAUGUGUAGUUAUUAAGAGACAAUAAAGAUUUAAUGAGAUAGGUCUUGGACUACCACACUACAAGAAGAGUUAAAUCAAUUCAUUAGGAAUGAUGUAUGAUAUUUAGUCCCUAUGCCUAAAGAUAAACAUGUCAUAAGCACUAAAUGAAUCUUAAAAAAUAAACAAGAUGAAAAUGGGGCAUUGUGAGAAACAAAGCAUGAUUAGUAGCUCAAGAAUACUCAUAGAUAGAGAGGAUUGAUUAUGAAUAAACAUUUGCACCUGUAACUAGGUUAUAAUCAAUCAGGAUAUUUUUGUCCAUAGCAUUCUCUUUGAGGAUGAAACAUUAUCAAAUGGGUGUCAAGAGUGCUUUCUUGAAUGAGAUUCUUAGUGAAGAGGUUCACGUUGAGUAACCUAAGGGUUUCGAGGAUCUAAAAUUCCCCAAUCAUGUAUAUAGGUUAAAGAAAGCCCUCUAUGGAUUAAACUAAGCUCCUAGAGCUUGGUAUGAGAAGUUCAUUACUUACCUUUUUUGAGAAAAAGUUUGAAAGAGAGGGAGUCGAGAGAACCUUGUUUAUACAUAGGUCUAAGGAUAAGUUAUUAAUGGCCUAGAUUUAUGUUGAUGAUAUUAUUUUUAGAGCCACCUCUAGUAACCUUGACCUUACUUUUAUCGAGGAAAUGAAGACUAAAUUUGAGAUGAGGAUGGUUGAUGGACUAUAUUUAUUCUUAGGUUAGCAGAUUAGACAACUUAAAGACGAAAUCCUUAUUUAAAACUCCAAAUAUGCUAGGGAGUUAGUUAGGAAGUUUGCUUUAGAAUCUACUCAACACUCUAGGACACCUAUGAGCAAUACUACUAAGCUUAGUAAGGAUACCUUUAGAAAUGAUGUUGAGUAAAAGCUCCAUAGGAGUAUGAUUAGAAGCUUGUUAUAUCUUACUACGAGUUGUUAUGACAUAUCCUUUAGUGUUGAAGCUUGUGCUAGGUACCAAGGAAACCCUAAAGAGUUGGACUUAAUUUUUGUUAACAAAAUUAUUAGGCAUAUUAAUGGGACUCUAGACUAUGGUUUGUGGUAUCAUUUUGAUUAUUCCCUUGUUAUUGUUGGUUAUUCCGAUAUUGACUAGGCUAGAAAUGUUGAGGAUAGAAAAAACACAUUUGGUGUUUUUAUUUUUAUUUUUAUUUUUAUUGUUGAUUAUCUUAUGGCUUGGCUUAGUAAGAAACAAAACUUGAUAUCUUUAUCUACCGUCGAAGCUAAAUACGUUGCUAUACACAACUCUUGUGGAUGAAACAAAUGCUAAAAGACUAUGGGAUUGAGCAAGGGACCAUGAAUGUACAUUGUGACAACUCUAAUGUUAUUAAUAUAUCAAAGAAUCUUGUUCUUCAUUCAUGUAUUAAACACAUUGAAAUUUGUCAUCAUUUUAUUAGGGAUCUUGUUGAAGAAAAGGUUGUUUCUCUAGAGUUUGUCUGAUUGCGUGCCUAGCUGGUGUACCUUGAGUUUGGUCUCAAACAGGAGUAAUCAACAAAAUUUAUAACCUAUACCACCAUGCACUAGGAUAGCCUUAGCUAAUAUAGCAUAGUGGCUCUAGGAUCGUUCAUUGGAAAGGGUUUUCAACUUACAACUGAUAACAAUUCAAAGUUGAAUUGAUGUUUUUUCAUUUCAAGGUUAGCUUUAAGAGAAAACAUAAACUUUGGUUGAAAAAGGAUUUGUUUUAAACUAACUAAAAAGAAAGUAAUGGGAAUUACUUAUGAAGAAAAACGUUCUUUGGAGUUUUAGGAUCACUAGGAUCAGGCUCCUCAUGCAAAAACAGAGCUUCGGUCACUUGAAUCUUUUCCUCGCAUUAGAGAAUUAACAUAUAGUUAAUUCUCUAACCGGUGUUGUACAUAUGCUUCCUAUUUAUGGAUUCAAACACUAAAUUCCUCUCACUAAUGCAUCUUGCAAUGGCUCGUGCCUCUCAUCUGGCAUUCACCAUUCAAGAUGAUCAUUAACCUUGGACUUCCCUUCUCAAGCUCGAAAGAGAUAACUAAUGGAUGUCUCCUUAGAGUCCAAAAGCUUACCAAGUGUUGGCAAUUCUAGAAAAUCCUACCUUCAAGUCACCUCCCAAAAGCUCGCAAGAGGUAAACUAGUGCAUCUCAAUGAACGGAGAUCACUUGCCUUACCAAGUGUUGGCCCAGGUGAAUUAAAGGCGUUUUAAGUUAACUAAAAAUAUAGAAACCAUUAAUGGGUCACACUUUCUCUUCAUUAACAGCUGAAACAACAAAACUCUCAAUUCUUGCACUCGGCACCUUACCCAGCUACCUUAGCUCCAAGAGACAAAAAGUCUAGCCACUCAUUCUCCAAGGAAUCAUCCUUAGAGCUUGUUUGGCUAGUAAGAAAAAUACAAUCAAAUUGAGUAGGUAAGGCAGAACAAAGCUCUGUAUUUUACUUCCUUCAAAACUAUACAAAAAGAUGUCUCUGAGAACAAGCUCCCAAGAUGUCUGUGCAAUGAAAAUUACAAAACAAUAUAUAUGAGGUUAUUCACCCUUUGUUCUUACUUAAUAACCAAGGAAUGAGUGAUUACAAGGAGAAAAUGGGGAUUUAAACAUCAAAUAUCUGAAGAAAAAAAAAUCUAAAAAUGUCGGUCGCAAAUAUCUGGAAGCACUCAGGAGGAUUUCGCAGGCAUGCAAGAUGGCUGCGAAAUUUCGCAAGCUGAAGGUCACCAUUUCGCAGCCAAAGGCUGAUUUCGCAGCCAAAGGCUGAUUUUGCAACCAUCACCUUGUGAUUUCGCAGCCUGCGAAAUUGGCCUUCAACUUGGUGUGAUCGGCUUCCAAUGGCUCUAACUUCUUCAUUUCAACUCUGAUUCGUGCACCGUUUGAAGCAUUGGAUUGCUGACUUCUUAAGCUUCGAAACAACAUAUAGUAUACAUGAAAUGAGCUCCAGGAAGUGCUUCAAAAGUGUCCAAUAGUUUCUGUCCUCUUGAAUUCUUCAUGUUAGAUUUCUCUCUUUGCUUUCCCUCCUUGCAUUCAUGAUUUACUUAUGGAAAAGGACUUUAAAGCUUCAAAGCUUAGGUUCUUCAUGUUAAUGAGCUUCCAAUUGAUUUGCCAUGGAUUCCAUAGAACUCUCCUUAAUCUUGGAUUGCUUUGGUGAUCAAAAUACUAUCAAAAACACCAAAACUUACACAAUUUGAUUAGAAAUGAUUGCAAAGGUACUUAAUAUGCUAAUUGAGUUAAAAGGUAAUAACUACUACUCAAAAAUGUUUAAAAGAGUUAAUUACAAACUACAAAAUAACACAUUUUGAGUAGUAAUCAUUGUCCUCACUGAAUAUCAAUUGACAAAUAUUUUUACAAAAACCUUGGAUUCUCUUAAGUUUGAAUUUCUUAGGAAAUCCCUAGGCAUAUGCCUAAUCAAUUGAUCAUCUAGAGUUAUAUGCCUAAAAAGGUUUGUUCUUAUUGUUCAUUUUUUGUUUAUUCCUUUGGCUUUCUAUUACCUUUUAGGCAUAUGAUUUUUGUUAAUUUACUUGAUAUAUUAGCAUGCUUUAUAAUAUUUUGAGUUUGUGAACUAGAAAAAUAUACUAUGUCUAGAAGUCUUGAUGUGGAUUGAUUCUUAGAUAUUUGUUAAUCACUAUUGAUGUACAUAACUCUUGAAAAUUAAAUUUCUUUGUAUAGUGAAAUUUCAACCUUAAUUACAUCUUGUGAUUGAUCAAGAAGGAGACUUCUUAAGUUUGAGUCAUAAAGUAGACUUUGAUAUCUUUGAAAAGAUUUUCUUUCAUGCUCAAAUCUUAUUAUCCACAUGUCUUAUUUGACUAAUAUCAUUAUAAUUGUUUCCUGAGGUGAGUCAACGAAUACUUGAAUCUUUAGUUAAACAUAACUCAUACACUUUCCAAGAUUCAUGCUCUUAAAUAUAAACUACUUACUUACAACAUUUUGAAACACACCUAAAGUGGAUACAAAGGCAAUCAUGAACAAAAAUAAAAUGAAAAAUCAAAAAGAGAUCAUGAUGUACAAUGCCUCCACUUUCAAUAAUAAUAAAAAAACAUGAUAUCAAAUUAAGGGGGAGUCAAGUUGUGCCAUUUGUAGAUCAAUGAGGUCUUGUUAAAUAGAAAUUCAACAAUCUUAGAACAAAUGGAUUGGAUGUGUACUUUAAUUUGACUAAAGACAUGACUGGAUCUUUUCUAAGUAAUCAAUUUUGAAAUAUAGAACUAGACAGUAAGUUUUAUUCCGUUGAAAAUCAAUACUUAUGUUUCUAUGUUGAUCAUUUUAUACACUGAUAGUUGUGGAUUAGGUUUCUAAACCGAAAUUGAGAUUUACUCUGAUAUUUGGACUUGAAACUUCACUCUUGAUGAAUUGAUGUAUACUAUCUAGGAAAUUCACUUGAUAUAUUACUGAUCAAUCUAAUGUUAAGAGUUUAACAACAUUAUGAUUCUACUCCAAGUUGUUUUCUUGCUAUCAUUUGAAUUUUUUUUUUUUUUUUUGUAAAUUAGUUCAAUUUCAAGUUUUUUGGCAAGUGUAUCUAUUUUUCUUGGUGCUGAUUUUCUGCAUAAAGCACUCAAGCACUAUCACCAGUGCUCAAGUGCUCCAACCGCUCAAGUGUUAUAAGUUGUAUCCAACGCCACUUCAAGUGGUCUGACUACUUAAGUGCUAUAAGUCGUUUCCAACAUUGUUUCCAGUGCUUAUGACGCUCAAGCGCUAAUCUACAUUGAACGCUCUUAUAGAGUAUAAAAUACCUUUCCAACGCGUCAUAUUCAAUUUCCAUCCAUCCUAGCUAGUUCGAGUGCUCUGGGUUUUCACAUCUUCAUCAUUUGAGGCUAGUUUGCUUCGUUUUUUGUGUUUUCGUCUACAUAGUAUUAUUUAGUACACAUUUUAGAUUUUUUCUAGCGAUUUAGUUUUCUUCCGCCUUUUUCUUGGUUUUUAUGUCUUUUUGCUUUUCAUUUAUUUUUUAUGGCUAGUCAUAGGUGCCAGUGUGAGGUGAUCCCUCAUAGGUCACUUAUGCUUAUUCAGGGCAUCGCUAUCGAGGGUUCUUUUAACCUAUGAGGCCUUUUAAUUGAGUGUUUCCAUUAUGUGGAGGCUUAUGAUUGUUUUUAUGUCUUUUUUUUGUGAUCGCCGCAUUGAGGUCAAGUGUCCUAUCAACCUCCAUGAAUUCCUGGAAACUCUUUUCCUUACUAUCAUCCAUGAGUGAAGGUGGGAGACUUUAUUUUCUCUUCAGGGAACCUAUUACCCUUACCAAGUACAGAAUGCAAACAUGUACUCAGUCUUUGUCGGUAUCACAUUUAGAUUGGCCAUGUAUGACUAGUCUUUUCUUGUCUUCUCCAGAUCCAUCAGGUGUGUACUUAGUUGUCUCGACUUGAUGCUCACAUUCCUUUUUUUUCUUAGGAACUACAGGCUGGGAGCUUGAUGCCAUUUUGAUAUCUCUUUAUGGUGCUUCUCGUCAUUUUCCCUCAUAUAUUUCCAUUUCUGGCUUCACCAAGCCAAUAUGGCUCCUCACUAUCUUCUUCACUUAUACAUUUUAUCUCUCUACUCACUAUACCCAUAUUUGUUGCUCAUCUGCUAGGCUCAUACAUGCUAUUCUUACUAGCCAGUAGUUCGACACAAGGUAGGUAAUUUUGGAUAUUAUGACCCCUUACCGUGAUUUUUCUUACUAAUUCGGUUACCUUCCAUUCAUCCUUCCUAUUUCUCAAAUCUUAGAGGAUGUCGGGUUCAAGAUUGAUCAUGCACUAGGGAGUUUAGGCUUCUUAUUCCUUUUUGGAUGGGAGCUUUUGGGCCAAGCAUUAUAGCCAUGCGUAUGGUCCUCAGGAUGCUGCACUAAAUUAGUAGAUAGCUUAAGAGGAUCUCAUAGAGAAGGAUGAGAUCCGAUUGGUGGAGAAGGAUACUCUAUUUCCAGAGAUGAACUUUCUAGAGCAUACUUUGAAGACUCGCUUUAGGCAUGAUUGAGCUAGUUCAUCCUGAGUUUCU